This is a small nucleolar RNA of Rattus norvegicus (Norway rat), 129 nucleotides long. Ensembl annotates it as small nucleolar RNA SNORA17. NCBI's taxonomy places the organism in Eukaryota, Metazoa, Chordata, Mammalia, Rodentia, Muridae. The record is from Ensembl.
GCCGCCCCUAGAGGCGUUGCAGGUGUGGCUGCUGUGUCACGUGUGUCAGUAGGUGGAUGAGAGGGAGAGGCUAUGUCUAUGCUCAGUGUUCUGACCUAUGGACAUCUGAAUGAUUAGUAGCCUAAUCAU